RNAcentral lists this transfer RNA (67 nucleotides) under Cryptotermes secundus. Its description in RNAcentral is "tRNA-Arg". Lineage: Eukaryota; Metazoa; Arthropoda; Insecta; Blattodea; Kalotermitidae. The record is from RNAcentral.
AAGUAAGAAGUGAACUAUCACGAUCAAUUUCGACUUGAUUUAAAUUGGUAAAAAUUACCCUUGCUUU